GAUGAACGCUGGCGGCGUGCCUAAUACAUGCAAGUCGAGCGAACGGACGAGAAGCUUGCUUCUCUGAUGUUAGCGGCGGACGGGUGAGUAACACGUGGAUAACCUACCUAUAAGACUGGGAUAACUUCGGGAAACCGGAGCUAAUACCGGAUAAUAGUUUGAACCGCAUGGUUCAAAAGUGAAAGACGGUCUUGCUGUCACUUAGAGAUGGAUCCGCGCUGCAUUAGCUAGUUGGUAAGGUAACGGCUUACCAAGGCAACGAUGCAUAGCCGACCUGAGAGGGUGAUCGGCCACACUGGAACUGAGACACGGUCCAGACUCCUACGGGAGGCAGCAGUAGGGAAUCUUCCGCAAUGGGCGAAAGCCUGACGGAGCAACGCCGCGUGAGUGAUGAAGGUCUUCGGAUCGUAAAGCUCUGUUAGUAGGGAAGAACAUAUGUGUAAGUAACUGUGCACAUCUUGACGGUACCUACUCAGAAAGCCCCGGCUAACUACGUG
RNAcentral lists this ribosomal RNA (497 nucleotides) under uncultured bacterium. RNAcentral describes it as "partial 16S ribosomal RNA". It matches the Rfam family "Bacterial small subunit ribosomal RNA", at positions 28 to 507 of the family's 1533-position model. The record is from RNAcentral.